ACACAUGCAAGUCGAACGGAAAGGCCCCUUCGGGGGUACUCGAGUGGCGAACGGGUGAGUAACACGUGGGUGAUCUGCCUCGUACUCUGGGAUAAGCCUGGGAAACUGGGUCUAAUACUGGAUAGGACCGCACUUUAGUGUGUGUGGUGGAAAGUUUUUUCGGUACGAGAUGAGCCCGCGGCCUAUCAGCUUGUUGGUGGGGUAAUGGCCUACCAAGGCGUCGACGGGUAGCCGGCCUGAGAGGGUGGACGGCCACAUUGGGACUGAGAUACGGCCCAGACUCCUACGGGAGGCAGCAGUGGGGAAUAUUGCACAAUGGGCGCAAGCCUGAUGCAGCGACGCCGCGUGAGGGAUGACGGCCUUCGGGUUGUAAACCUCUUUCGACAGGGACGAAGCUUUUGUGACGGUACCUGUAUAAGAAGCACCGGCUAACUACGUGCCAGCAGCCGCGGUAAUACGUAGGGUGCGAGCGUUGUCCGGAAUUACUGGGCGUAAAGAGCUCGUAGGUGGUUUGUCGCGUCGUCUGUGAAAUUCCGGGGCUUAACUCCGGGCGUGCAGGCGAUACGGGCAUAACUUGAGUGCUGUAGGGGAGACUGGAAUUCCUGGUGUAGCGGUGGAAUGCGCAGAUAUCAGGAGGAACACCGAUGGCGAAGGCAGGUCUCUGGGCAGUAACUGACGCUGAGGAGCGAAAGCAUGGGGAGCGAACAGGAUUAGAUACCCU
This 721-nucleotide ribosomal RNA is filed under the name Corynebacterium ulcerans. RNAcentral's name for it is "bacterial SSU rRNA". It matches the Rfam family "Bacterial small subunit ribosomal RNA", at positions 51 to 788 of the family's 1533-position model. The record is from RNAcentral. Lineage: Bacteria; Bacillati; Actinomycetota; Actinomycetes; Mycobacteriales; Corynebacteriaceae.